Molecule: long non-coding RNA, 695 nt
Filed under: Homo sapiens (human)
Lineage: Eukaryota; Metazoa; Chordata; Mammalia; Primates; Hominidae
Description: HSALNT0128119
Source: RNAcentral
CCCACACACAAGAACUUCCAAACGCCUGAACCGCAGCAGCCAGGCAUUCCUCCAGAACCUCCUCUCCCAGGAGCUUGCUACAAGUGUGGGAAAUCUGGCCACCGGGCCAAGGAAUGCCCAGAGCCCGGGAUUCCUCCUAAGCCGCCUCCCAUCUGUGUAGGACCCCACUGAAAAUCGGACUGUUCAACUCACCUGGCAGCCACUCCCAGAGCCCCUGGAACUCUGGCCCAAGGCUCUCUGACUGACUCCUUCCCAGAUCUUCUCGGUUUAGCAGCUGAAGACUGACACUGCCCGAUCGCCUCGGAAGCCCCCUAGACCAUCAUGGACACCGAGAUUCAGGUAACUCUCACAGUAGAAGGGUUCCUCCAAAUCUCUCUCCAAAUAUUUGUUAUCUACUCAUUCAAUACCCUUCUUCAACCAUCCUCUUGCUUUGGAAUUGACAUGAACCAACUAGGCCCGCCUUAUUGGUAGGAAUUCAUUUGCCCUGCCUGCCAGCCCCCAUAGAGACAGAACCAUUGCCUAGUGAAAGAAGAUUUUAAUGACGUGAUGAAAAUAUUUUAGAAAGCACCUUGAAGAUUAGUAUUUUUAUGUAACUUCUGUUGGAGAGAUGUCUUCAGGAGACUGAAGUAGAAGAGCGACUGUCAAAAUGGAAAGUUGAGUGUACGCUAUGCUUAUUCUUAGAGGGAUUAAUUACC